RNAcentral lists this ribosomal RNA (468 nucleotides) under uncultured bacterium. RNAcentral describes it as "partial 16S ribosomal RNA". It matches the Rfam family "Bacterial small subunit ribosomal RNA", at positions 28 to 507 of the family's 1533-position model. The record is from RNAcentral.
GACGAACGCUGGCGGCGUGCUUAACACAUGCAAGUCGAACGGAAAGGCCCUGCUUUUGUGGGGUGCUCGAGUGGCGAACGGGUGAGUAACACGUGAGUAACCUGCCCCUGACUUUGGGAUAACUUCAGGAAACUGGGGCUAAUACCGGAUAGGAGCUCCUGCUGCAUGGUGGGGGUUGAAAAGUUUCGGCGGUUGGGGAUGGACUCGCGGCUUAUCAGCUUGUUGGUGGGGUAGUGGCUUACCAAGGCUUUGACGGGUAGCCGGCCUGAGAGGGUGACCGGCCACAUUGGGACUGAGAUACGGCCCAGACUCCUACGGGAGGCAGCAGUGGGGAAUAUUGCACAAUGGGCGGAAGCCUGAUGCAGCAACGCCGCGUGCGGGAUGACGGCCUUCGGGUUGUAAACCGCUUUCGCCUGUGACGAAGCGUGAGUGACGGUAAUGGGUAAAGAAGCACCGGCUAACUACGUG